Molecule: long non-coding RNA, 1473 nt
Organism: Prionailurus viverrinus (fishing cat)
Lineage: Eukaryota; Metazoa; Chordata; Mammalia; Carnivora; Felidae
Exons: 3
Source: RefSeq, a predicted model, not a curated record
UACACUCCCCAGAAGGCGCUGGCGCCGUGCGGGGCGUACCCGAGUGUACUGCUCUGGGCAAGGGCGGAACAUCCGACGUCGCCCUGAGGUUUUUCUUUGGCUGGUUGUGCGCCUGUGCGAAAAAAGGCCUCGAUCCCUGGUUUGAGGACGCGUUUAGGAAAGUCUAGGGCGCCACCGUCCAGGGUCUGGGGUGCGCCAAGUGGGGAAGGUGUGGGGCUCCUUUUUGCGCCUUUGCGCCUACGGGCGAUGCCUGCGAGCGAUCGUCCCCGCCUCCUCGGGCCUCGGCGUUGACGGAAAUAGAAUGGGCGGCCCUGUGGGGCGUCCGCCGGGAUCGCCGCAAGAGCCCUCAAGACCUUCCCAGUAAGGGCCUUGAGGGUGUUUCCACCAUAAUGCGCGGGAGACCGAGGUUCCGAGGGCCUGCCCGCAGCCCAGGGUCCUCCAGCCGUGCCGGGGGACUGAGGGCGGAGGAGGUGCUGUUCCAGCGGGCCACUCCCAACGGGUGCGCGCGCGCCCUCUUCCUCCCCGGCCCCCCACGGGUUGGCAUGGGACCAGCGCCGCUACUGAUGUCUUUGGCGAGUGAAGGGUCCACUUGCCGAAGCCGGGCAGUCCUACCCCCAAGUUCCUGGAGCCCCAGCGUUAGCGGAUGAGUGUGCCUUGGGAUUCCUGCCGCUUUCAUUUCCUUGUCUGGGAUGAUGGGAGUCACUUUCAUUUUGCGCCUUCGUGCUCCAGAUUACUGGCUGGACACCUGAGAUAUCGUCAGCAGUACCAGAUUCCUCAUCACCACCAACUCCAGCAGUCAGCUGCCCUCAGAGAUGGAAGAGAGGGCACGAGCAAGUGAGGUUCUGGUCCCCGCAGCACUCAAGAAUGGAACCAUGGGAACUAGCAUGCAGUGAGGAUGCUGGUGGCUACCUUCUGGCUCCCAGCUCUACGAUGGGUAACGUCAUUGUACCAUUUUAUGUACGAAGAUGAAGGACCCUGACAACAAAACCUAAAACAAACCCUCACACUAGAGCAACAAAGAGGAAAGCUCUCUUCUCCAGCAGUCGUGGGCGUGUACUGAGACCGCCCUUCCUUUUGUUUUCACGUGUGGCAGAAACUCAGGUUGGUCCCCAGGAGACAGGACCAACGCAUCAAUAUCCUGAUGUGCCAGCCACACCUAGACGACCCAAAGACAGGCAAGUCUGGGAAAGUACAUUUUGUGCGGUCCAGUUUAGCAGGGAAAACAGAUGGCUUAGCAAAGUGUCAGAAAACAAUUCACACUCCAGAAAAAUUUAGCCUAGGGGCUUGCAAACCUGAGGUUAACCCCUUUACAAAACACGGAGAGGUCAAUCCAGGGCACAGGCCUCCAGAGGUAGAGCCAGGCUCUGUGCCAAAGCACCGUCCCUCCUAACUCGCCCCUCUCAUCAGGCUAUGUCCUUUUAUGUAUUUGUUUAUUUAUUUAUUUAUUCAUUAAAAACAUUGUUUUAAUGUUUA